CUGAAGAUAAGAGGGUCUUGAGACUGCGUCCCAAUCAGUGGCGUGUGCUCGUCCCUUACUCUUUCAUCCACAUACACCUUUGUGCACUAUGGGGACGUCAAUGUCCCCCUUUUUUACAUUAAACACCGAGUUUUAUAUGCAUGUCUUAUUAUUGCUCUACGGAGUAAAAUGUAA
RNAcentral lists this unclassified non-coding RNA (174 nucleotides) under uncultured Geastrum. Its description in RNAcentral is "sequence contains ITS1". The record is from RNAcentral. Lineage: Eukaryota; Fungi; Basidiomycota; Agaricomycetes; Geastrales; Geastraceae.